CACCGCACCUGCCCUAUGACUUCAUCAAUUUCCUGUUGGACGCGGCCUGGAGGGACAGCCUCCCCUCAGUGAAGCAGUCCCUUAGUGGCUCUUCCUCGACCUUCUACCACUGGAAAUCAAUCUGUAGAGUAAGAUAUAUCUCCAACAUGGGUCCCAGGGAUCCAGCUCAGAGAUCCAGGCUUGCUUGGUAAGUUCCUUUACCCCUUGAUCAUCUAUCUCUCUUUCCCCUGAAUGCUGUUUCUGUUCGGAGUUCACCUGGACCAGUCUCAGUUCCCAGUCUCUCCCACAAAGGACUCAUGGUCUAUCUUUACCCACCCAACACCUGCUUCUUCCUCAGUUUGAACCUGUAGGCUGUCUUGUAGCCCAGGAUGAACAAAAUGGUUAUUUUACCCGGCACAUCAAACAGUCUUGUGUAUUUUCCAAUGGACGGGGGAAGUGGCUCACCUCCAUUCUAGAGCCAUUGACCUUAGUUCACUCUUUCUCUCCUGUUAUCUGAGAUUUGCCAAGGUUAAGGCAUUUCCUCCUGCAUUUAACUAUCACACAAGGCCCUCACCCUAUUUGCCCUGAAUGAACAUUCAUUCUGAUUUUUUACAGUACAGAAGUGGCCAUGCACACUGACUGCCCUGAGCCUCAUACCUCAGCAAUGAAGCCAGUGUCCUCUCCAAAACUUUCCUGUAAGGUUUGGAGCAGCCUGUUGAGGAAAGGAUCUUCAUACUCAAAGCGCUGGGCAUAAAUGAGGGAUGAAAUCACAUUGCAUGCACCUUUAUUCAGGAGGGUGGUGGGAUUAAAUGGUUGUCCUAGGAGCAGAGAUGCAAACAAGUCAUAACGUUGUUCAUAAGUGCAUGCCCACGUCUCUACAUCUCACCCAUCACCCACCAGCCUCCUUGGUGAAGGCGUCACAGAGGUGUCCAGCCUCCUCCAUCACCCACUGCUCCAGGGAUUUCUUGCCCAGGCCGAAGUCUCGCAUGGUGGACACAGAGAAUCGCCGCUGUUCUCGCCAUUCGCGUCCAUAAGGUGCUAACACCACACCUACAGGGACAUCUGUGUGUAACCAAGGAUACGUGGCUGUGCUGUCUGCUCUGCUCCCGACAUUUCCCUGUGGUUAGUCUGAGCCAUCAGUGCCCCAGCACUUUGCUAUCACAAUCAGCACAGGCCACUUUGGAGGCUCCACCCCCCAUUGCAGUGACUUCCAUUGAAAGACAUUGCCUGAACACAGUCCCUCCGUUAGCCCUGCCCAUCUCCUCUUCACUGCCCCUCAAGUCUUAUUCUCUAUAUCUUGUCCCCACUAUAGCUAUUUGCCUUUUGAUUUGUGACCAUAGCCCAGGUGAUCAUAGACAGGAAAUGGAGGGCGGUCAGCAGUGUCCUCUCCACAGGUCACCAGCACUUCCCGCACCGCCUUUAGUCCAUUGAUUACGACCACGGGGUUCCAGGCCAGUUGCAAGCUGAACACAUCACCAUAGCGCUGUCGAAGCUGAAGUAGAGGGACAGAAUGCUUAGUAAGUGGAGGUCCCUAGCAGACUGGACAAUCCAAGCACAACACAUGUAUGUAAGUUGGUGUGUGUGUGUGUGUGUGUGUGUGUGUGUGCAAGUGUAUAAACUUGAGUUCAUUUGCAUCAUAAACAUUAUUAAGCCUUGGUCCUGCCUGCCCUAUGCCAGACAGAUGUUCUAUCACUGACCUACAGCUUUAGCCUGAGGUAUGACACCCUGUGACUAUGCACCCCAUCUUCUAAAUCUACCAAAAGUCUCACGGUAGAUAUGCUCAUUCAGUCACCUUGCCAGGGCAUGUUCCUUGACCCCCUUCCUACCCCACCAUACAUGAGGAAAGUCCAGAUGCCUGAGAUGUGGAGCAAGUCCUGAGACCACACAACAGCAGAGAUUAUAGCAGACACAGCCUCUCCCCCUGCUUUGCUUUCCUGACUGACAGGCUACACUGGAGCCUUGCUCCUCCCCUCUGUCCCUGAGACCUCAGCCACUGAUGGGAUCACAAGGAACCUAUGUCUUCCCUGACCUCUGUCCUGUCCAACCACAGUCCACGCCUGCCUCCAUGACCUUGUCCAUACUGAGCUCCUGCUCUUAGAAGUCCACAGAAAUCAAAGACCCUGAAGCAAGUGCCACAAGGCAACCACUAAGCCUCUUCCACUUGGUGGCCAUCUUCCCGUCUAUCCUGUGGCUUCAGCACCACCAUGGACUACGGGGGCACCAUGACCUCUACUGCCCUCCACUGCCAUCUCUCUUACCUUGUGUAAACUAUACGGCAUGUUCUUGAAGUCCACCUGCAGGAGGUUGCCCAACCCAGGUAGUGGCACAGGACCUGGAGGGUAGCGGGCAGUCCAGAACUUGCGUCGGUGCAUCAGGUCCACCAGGAGCAGGAAGAUGGCUGUGAAUAGGACCAUGGACCACAGGCCAUCUCCAGUCAGCAGUGCCAUGACUGCCCCUGCUUCCCAG
Molecule: non-coding RNA, 2445 nt
Organism: Myodes glareolus (Bank vole)
Lineage: Eukaryota; Metazoa; Chordata; Mammalia; Rodentia; Cricetidae
Source: RefSeq, a predicted model, not a curated record